This 274-nucleotide ribosomal RNA is filed under the name uncultured bacterium. RNAcentral describes it as "partial 16S ribosomal RNA". It matches the Rfam family "Bacterial small subunit ribosomal RNA", at positions 523 to 796 of the family's 1533-position model. The record is from RNAcentral.
ACACGGGGGGCGCAAGCGUUAUUCGGAAUUAUUGGGCGUAAAGGGCGCGUAGGCGGUCUUGUCGGUCAGAUGUGAAAGCCCAGGGCUCAACCCUGGACGUGCAUUUGAAACAGCAAGACUUGAGUACGGGAGAGGAAAGCGGAAUUCCUGGUGUAGAGGUGAAAUUCGUAGAUAUCAGGAGGAAUACCGAUGGCGAAGGCAGCUUUCUGGACCGAUACUGACGCUGAGGCGCGAAGGCGUGGGUAGCGAACAGGAUUAGAAACCCUAGUAGUCC